GGGUUGUGAGGUUAAGCGACUAAGCGUACACGGUGGAUGCCCUGGCAGUCAGAGGCGAUGAAGGGCGUGCUAAUCUGCGAUAAGCGCCGGUAAGGUGAUAUGAACCGUUAUAACCGGCGAUACCCGAAUGGGGAAACCCAGUGUGAUUCGUCACACUAUCAUUAACUGAAUCCAUAGGUUAAUGAGGCGAACCGGGGGAACUGAAACAUCUAAGUACCCCGAGGAAAAGAAAUCAACCGAGAUUCCCCAGUAGCGGCGAGCGAACGGGGAGGAGCCCAGAGCCUGAAUCAGCAUGUGUGUUAGUGGAAGCGUCUGGAAAGGCGCGCGAUACAGGGUGACAGCCCCGUACACAAAAGCGCAUGUGCUGUGAGCUCGAUGAGUAGGGCGGGACACGUGGUAUCCUGUCUGAAUAUGGGGGGACCAUCCUCCAAGGCUAAAUACUCCUGACUGACCGAUAGUGAACCAGUACCGUGAGGGAAAGGCGAAAAGAACCCCGGCGAGGGGAGUGAAAAAGAACCUGAAACCGUGUACGUACAAGCAGUGGGAGCACAGGUUUACCUGUGUGACUGCGUACCUUUUGUAUAAUGGGUCAGCGACUUAUAUUCUGUAGCAAGGUUAACCGUAUAGGGGAGCCGCAGGGAAACCGAGUCUUAAUUGGGCGUUAAGUUGCAGGGUAUAGACCCGAAACCCGGUGAUCUAGCCAUGGGCAGGUUGAAGGUUGGGUAACACUAACUGGAGGACCGAACCGACUAAUGUUGAAAAAUUAGCGGAUGACCUGUGGCUGGGGGUGAAAGGCCAAUCAAACCGGGAGAUAGCUGGUUCUCCCCGAAAGCUAUUUAGGUAGCGCCUCGUGAAUUCAUCUCCGGGGGUAGAGCACUGUUUCGGCUAGGGGGCCAUCCCGGCUUACCAACCCGAUGCAAACUGCGAAUACCGGAGAAUGUUAUCACGGGAGACACACGGCGGGUGCUAACGUCCGUCGUGAAGAGGGAAACAACCCAGACCGCCAGCUAAGGUCCCAAAGUCAUGGUUAAGUGGGAAACGAUGUGGGAAGGCCCAGACAGCCAGGAUGUUGGCUUAGAAGCAGCCAUCAUUUAAAGAAAGCGUAAUAGCUCACUGGUCGAGUCGGCCUGCGCGGAAGAUGUAACGGGGCUAAACCAUGCACCGAAGCUGCGGCAGCGACACUGUGUGUUGUUGGGUAGGGGAGCGUUCUGUAAGCCUGCGAAGGUGGCCUGUGAGGGUUGCUGGAGGUAUCAGAAGUGCGAAUGCUGACAUAAGUAACGAUAAAGCGGGUGAAAAGCCCGCUCGCCGGAAGACCAAGGGUUCCUGUCCAACGUUAAUCGGGGCAGGGUGAGUCGACCCUAAGGCGAGGCCGAAAGGCGUAGUCGAUGGGAAACGGGUUAAUAUUCCCGUACUUGGUGUUACUGCGAAGGGGGGACGGAGAAGGCUAUGUUGGCCGGGCGACGGUUGUCCCGGUUUAAGCGUGUAGGUGUGUGUUCCAGGUAAAUCCGGUUCACUUUAACACUGAGGCGUGACGACGAGGCACUACGGUGCUGAAGCAACAAAUGCCCUGCUUCCGGAAAGCCUCUAAGCAUCAGGUAACAUCAAAUCGUACCCCAAACCGACACAGGUGGUCAGGUAGAGAAUACCAAGGCGCUUGAGAGAACUCGGGUGAAGGAACUAGGCAAAAUGGUGCCGUAACUUCGGGAGAAGGCACGCUGACACGUAGGUGAAGUGAUUUACUCACGGAGCUGAAGUCAGUCGAAGAUACCAGCUGGCUGCAACUGUUUAUUAAAAACACAGCACUGUGCAAACACGAAAGUGGACGUAUACGGUGUGACGCCUGCCCGGUGCCGGAAGGUUAAUUGAUGGGGUCAGCGCAAGCGAAGCUCCUGAUCGAAGCCCCGGUAAACGGCGGCCGUAACUAUAACGGUCCUAAGGUAGCGAAAUUCCUUGUCGGGUAAGUUCCGACCUGCACGAAUGGCGUAAUGAUGGCCAGGCUGUCUCCACCCGAGACUCAGUGAAAUUGAACUCGCUGUGAAGAUGCAGUGUACCCGCGGCAAGACGGAAAGACCCCGUGAACCUUUACUAUAGCUUGACACUGAACAUUGAGCCUUGAUGUGUAGGAUAGGUGGGAGGCUUUGAAGUGUGGACGCCAGUCUGCAUGGAGCCGACCUUGAAAUACCACCCUUUAAUGUUUGAUGUUCUAACGUGGACCCGUAAUCCGGGUUGCGGACAGUGUCUGGUGGGUAGUUUGACUGGGGCGGUCUCCUCCUAAAGAGUAACGGAGGAGCACGAAGGUUGGCUAAUCCUGGUCGGACAUCAGGAGGUUAGUGCAAUGGCAUAAGCCAGCUUGACUGCGAGCGUGACGGCGCGAGCAGGUGCGAAAGCAGGUCAUAGUGAUCCGGUGGUUCUGAAUGGAAGGGCCAUCGCUCAACGGAUAAAAGGUACUCCGGGGAUAACAGGCUGAUACCGCCCAAGAGUUCAUAUCGACGGCGGUGUUUGGCACCUCGAUGUCGGCUCAUCACAUCCUGGGGCUGAAGUAGGUCCCAAGGGUAUGGCUGUUCGCCAUUUAAAGUGGUACGCGAGCUGGGUUUAGAACGUCGUGAGACAGUUCGGUCCCUAUCUGCCGUGGGCGCUGGAGAACUGAGGGGGGCUGCUCCUAGUACGAGAGGACCGGAGUGGACGCAUCACUGGUGUUCGGGUUGUCAUGCCAAUGGCACUGCCCGGUAGCUAAAUGCGGAAGAGAUAAGUGCUGAAAGCAUCUAAGCACGAAACUUGCCCCGAGAUGAGUUCCCCCUGAGACUUAGAGUCUCCUGAAGGAACGUUGAAGACGACGACGUUGAUAGGCCGGGUGUGUAAGCGCAGCGAUGCGUUGAGCUAACCGGUACUAAUGAACCGUGAGGCUUAACCUUACAACGCCGAAG
RNAcentral lists this ribosomal RNA (2924 nucleotides) under Salmonella enterica subsp. enterica serovar Adjame. Its description in RNAcentral is "23S ribosomal RNA". It matches the Rfam family "Bacterial large subunit ribosomal RNA". The record is from RNAcentral. Lineage: Bacteria; Pseudomonadati; Pseudomonadota; Gammaproteobacteria; Enterobacterales; Enterobacteriaceae.